This 461-nucleotide ribosomal RNA is filed under the name uncultured bacterium. Its description in RNAcentral is "partial 16S ribosomal RNA". It matches the Rfam family "Bacterial small subunit ribosomal RNA", at positions 28 to 506 of the family's 1533-position model. The record is from RNAcentral.
GACGAACGCUGGCGGCGUGCUUAACACAUGCAAGUCGAACGGUGAAGCCCUUCGGGGUGGAUCAGUGGCGAACGGGUGAGUAACACGUGAGCAACCUGCCCCUGGCUCUGGGACAACCACUGGAAACGGUGGCUAAUACCGGAUACGACCCGCCUCGGCAUCGAGUGUGGGUGGAAAGUUUUUCGGCUGGGGAUGGGCUCGCGGCCUAUCAGCUUGUUGGUGAGGUGAAGGCUCACCAAGGCGACGACGGGUAGCCGGCCUGAGAGGGCGACCGGCCACACUGGGACUGAGACACGGCCCAGACGCCUACGGGAGGCAGCAGUGGGGAAUAUUGCACAAUGGGCGAAAGCCUGAUGCAGCGACGCCGCGUGAGGGAUGACGGCCUUCGGGUUGUAAACCUCUUUCAGCUCCGAAGAAGCGAAAGUGACGGUAGGAGCAGAAGAAGCACCGGCUAACUACGU